Long non-coding RNA from Brienomyrus brachyistius, 797 nucleotides. RefSeq lists it as uncharacterized. The transcript has 4 exons. Lineage: Eukaryota; Metazoa; Chordata; Actinopteri; Osteoglossiformes; Mormyridae. The record is from RefSeq and is a predicted model, not a curated record.
GGCUAACACUAUAAUAUCCGAGUGCAUAUACCAACACAUCUAAGACAAUAGAAAACAUCUCAAGAGCGCCCUCAAGUGCCACAGCCCUGACUAUUCUACUCCCACCACCCGGGUCCCUCCCCCAUCCAAGCACACAGCAGCCCCAGCUUCACCCUGGCCCCACCCUAACGAGCACCGGAUGGCAAGCGUGUGAAAUACAUACCAGGCGUCCUAGUGCCAGAGAAUGGUGGUGGGGGGCCACCAACUGGCAUGGAGCAACUCCCCAGAAAAGCGUUCGGCGGAGGGGAUGUUUUAAUUUCAAAUAGAAAAUUCAGAUUUGCUAACCCAAGGACGAAGGAUGUUUCAGGCUAGAGGCUGGCUUUGCUCCGUGGCUUUGCUGAGGGUCCAUUAGUGCUGCAGGUACAGGCCCACCUGCCACUCCUACAUACCACAUCCCACCCCUGGGGCCUCAAAACUGGGUGACCUGUCACAGGACCUUGUAUGGCGCCAUCCACAGGCACCUCUGACUCACUUUUGCCGGAAUUAAGGCCCGGUACCCCGAGUGGCCUCGCCCCAGCGCGCCACCCAAAUAGCAUCCUUAUCGGAAUUCUCCGGAACCCACAGUGGCCUAACCAGAAGCAAAUGAUCAUCCACCCUCCACUGUCUGUCUUCAGGCGUCCAAGACCACAGAAUUGCGGCGUUGGUGCGAGAGAGGGCUGCACAUGGCCGGCAGAGGAAGGGGAAGAGCAUAGAAAUGCAGACAAAGGCAGGAUCAGCCACAGAAGCAGGACGGAGGGGGGCGCCGGGCUCGUCAUGCC